RNAcentral lists this ribosomal RNA (492 nucleotides) under uncultured bacterium. RNAcentral describes it as "partial 16S ribosomal RNA". It matches the Rfam family "Bacterial small subunit ribosomal RNA", at positions 29 to 507 of the family's 1533-position model. The record is from RNAcentral.
AGUGAACGCUGGCGGCAGGCCUAACACAUGCAAGUCGAACGGCAGCACAGUAAUAGCUUGUUCUUACGGGUGGCGAGUGGCGGACGGGUGAUGAAUACCUCCGAAUCUACUUUUUCGUGGGGGAUAACGCAGGGAAUAUUACGCCAAUACCGCAUACGACCUACGGGUGAAAUCAUGGGAUCUUCCGCCCUUGCGUGAUCGAAUGAGCCGAUGUCGGAUUAGCUAGUUGGCGGGGUAAAGGCCCACCAAGGCGACGAUCCGUAGCUGGUCUGAGAGGAUGAUCAGCCACACUGGAACUGAGACACGGUCCAGACUCCUACGGGAGGCAGCAGUGGGGAAUAUUGGACAAUGGGCGAAAGCCUGAUCCAGCCAUACCGCGUGGGUGAAGAAGGCCUUCGGGUUGUAAAGCCCUUUUGUUGGGAAAGAAAAGCAGCAGGUUAAUACCCCGCUGUUCUGACGGUACCCAAAGAAUAAGCACCGGCUAACUUCGUG